RNAcentral lists this ribosomal RNA (317 nucleotides) under uncultured bacterium. RNAcentral's name for it is "bacterial SSU rRNA". It matches the Rfam family "Bacterial small subunit ribosomal RNA", at positions 29 to 372 of the family's 1533-position model. The record is from RNAcentral.
AGCGAACGCUGGCGGCAGGCUUAACACAUGCAAGUCGAGCGGACGUAGCAAUACGUUAGCGGCAGACGGGUGAGUAACACGUGGGAACGUGCCCUUUGGUUCGGGAUAACCCAGGGAAACCUGGGCUAAUACCGGAUAAGCCCUUACGGGGAAGAUUUAUCGCCAAAGGAUCGGCCCGCGUCUGAUUAGCUAGUUGGUGGGGUAACGGCCCACCAAGGCUACGAUCAGUAGCUAGUCUGAGAGGAUGAUCAGCCACACUGGGACUGAGACACGGCCCAGACUCCUACGGGAGGCAGCAGUGGGGAAUAUUGGACAAU